Molecule: long non-coding RNA, 1610 nt
Filed under: Macaca fascicularis (crab-eating macaque)
Lineage: Eukaryota; Metazoa; Chordata; Mammalia; Primates; Cercopithecidae
Description: lncRNA (ENSMFAG00000061021.1)
Source: RNAcentral
AGGUACUCCAUUGUCUGAUGGAUCUGAGAACGCUGUCUGGGCUUGGUGCCAAGGGCUGGUAUUUCACAGCAGCGACCGCCUCACAGACGAGCUGUGGGAAGCAGGAGGGAGACUCUCUCUUAGGGUGCCACUACUAUGGAGACACAGCUGGGCUGAACAAGAUUUGCUUCAAACGACAACAAGAGAGACAGAAAGUAUCUGGUUCAACCGCUGCCCGAGCAGGCAGGCACCAGAAGAGCUAGCAGCCAAUCCGGCCAUGCUCGAAGCCAGCUCUGCAGCUCAGCCAAUCAGUGACAUCACUGAAAUGGAAGCAGUGGGAUCCAACCGAUACUUAGCUGCAAUACGAAAGUGAGUUCACUUGGUACCUGAUGUCCAAGUAAGAUGCACUGAAGUGUCAAGAUUUUCACAUUCUUUCUGAUAAAUUGAUUCUCCAAAUUCUGUCCCAUCACUGACAUUCGUGUGUAGUUGGAAGUCUCCAGUCCUAUAAAGCCCACUGAGAAGUUAUUCCUUGUCAGCUUUGACACUGUCAAAGGUCAUCUGGUACCCAGCAAGCCAGCCUCAUCACCAAAGACAGCCAAACCAUGGAUUUCAAGUCCUGAAAAAUGAAAGUCAACAUCACAACCAAAGUGUAUACAUUCUCGUUGUAACAGGAGGACUUGAUCUUAUCACUUUUCUCUCCUGUGUUUGGUAAGAAGAUAGUAUCUAAUGUCAGUUUCAACCUUGAGACACCUGGUCUUUAACUGUGAUUUCUGUUCCCAGAGUGUUCUACUUUUCUGUGAAAGUCAGAUCAUAUCACACCAUUUAUAUUUGGCCUCCAACAUCCCAGUAAUUUUACCAGUGUCUGUAUUAGAUGAAGCAGAUGUUGAGAAUUCCAUGCCACUGCAUGACUUUUUUUUUUCACAUCCAGUUUCACCAACCCUGAGCCAACUCCUUUGUGGAAAGUAUCUCUGACAGACAGCUAUGCCAAAGUCAGCAUACGAUGGAGGAAUACACUGGCCACACUCAGGUCUGUCUGUAGGUCACCAUGGUGAAGUCUUGGGAAGAGAUAAUCUGGUGGUCUCCGGAUGGGGGUGCUCCCACUGCUGUGCUCACAGCUGAGGCCACUGGGUUUGCCUGCCAUGGGGUCACAGCUGCCUCAGCUGGAGGACAAAGUGGAGGCACCAUUCCACUUGCAGUCUGAAUGUUUUUAAAAUGUAAAAAUAUUUUUGAGCUGUAUUAGUGCUUUCCUUAGAAACAGAAUCAAUAUGAUAGAUAGCAGUAAGAUAGAUAGAUAGAUAGAUAGAUAGAUAGAUAGAUAGAUAGAUAGAUAGAAGACAAAAUGAGCCAGCCGCAGUGGCUCACACCUGUAAUCCCAGCACUUUGGGAGGCCGAGGUAGGAGGAUCAUGAGGUCAGGAGUUAGAGACCAGCCUGACCAAUAUGGUGAAACUGAAUCUCUACUAAAAAUUAGGCGGGCAUGGUGGUGCAUGCCUGUAAUCCCAGCUACUCGUGAGGCUGAAGGAGGAGAAUCGCUUGAACCUGGGAGGCAGAGGUUGCAGUGAGCUGAGAUCAUGCCAUUGCACUCUAGCCUGGUGACAGAGUGAAACUCCUGUCUCAAAAAAAAAAAAAAAAA